This 635-nucleotide ribosomal RNA is filed under the name Sarocladium spinificis. Its description in RNAcentral is "partial large subunit ribosomal RNA". It matches the Rfam family "Eukaryotic large subunit ribosomal RNA", at positions 76 to 734 of the family's 3401-position model. The record is from RNAcentral. Lineage: Eukaryota; Fungi; Ascomycota; Sordariomycetes; Hypocreales; Sarocladiaceae.
UGCCUCAGUAACGGCGAGUGAAGCGGCAACAGCUCAAAUUUGAAAUCUGGCCGCAAGGUCCGAGUUGUAAUUUGCAGAGGAUGCUUUUGGCGAGGUGCCUUCCGAGUUCCCUGGAACGGGACGCCAUAGAGGGUGAGAGCCCCGUACGGUAGGACCACCGAGCCUUUGUAAAGCUCCUUCGACGAGUCGAGUAGUUUGGGAAUGCUGCUCUAAAUGGGAGGUGUACGUCUUCUAAAGCUAAAUACCGGCCAGAGACCGAUAGCGCACAAGUAGAGUGAUCGAAAGAUGAAAAGCACUUUGAAAAGAGGGUUAAAAAGUACGUGAAAUUGUUGAAAGGGAAGCAUUCAUGACCAGACUUGGGCUUGGUUGAACAUCCGGCGUUCUCGCCGGUGCACUCUGCCAGUCCAGGCCAGCAUCAGUUUGCCCCGGGGGACAAAGGCGGUGGGAAUGUGGCUCUCUCCGGGGAGUGUUAUAGCCCGCCGUGUAAUGCCCUGGGGCGGACUGAGGAACGCGCUUCGGCUCGGAUGCUGGCGUAAUGGUCAUCAAUGACCCGUCUUGAAACACGGACCAAGGAGUCGUCUUCGUAUGCGAGUGUUCGGGUGUCAAACCCCUACGCGAAAUGAAAGUGAACGUAG